GCUCUCGGCUUGACGGAGACACUGGAGAAAAAGCCCGCUGCCUCGAGAUGCAGAUGGACUCCUGAAUCCUGUCUUGAUAGGUUUGUUCUCCUAUGUUGUGCCUUGCAUUCGUGAAGUGUUUGUUUUGUUUCCCUAGUAUACAGAUCUGUUUCUCAAAUUGCACUGCAUAUAUCAUAUGCUUUAUGUUGUAAACUGAUACUAAUUUUCAUAUAUAAAAGCAUUUAAGAGACUUUUUAAAAAUCCACAGUAUUAAAAAUAUAUAUGCUGUAAUUAAUGUGUUAGGCUUUCAAGAGAAUAACACAGCAGAAGCUUGGAUAAGUGGGCUACUAAUUAUAAAUAAAACUAUUGGGAUAAAAUUCUUUUUGUAAAUGUGAUAAGCGCUUAAAUAGUUGUUUGCUGGGGAAUUGUUUGGGUCCUGUUGCUAAGAAGUUGUCAGGAACAAUUGGAGUUUAAAUAAAUAUUUGGUCCAGUUUUAAGUUGUCAUUUUUAACUUAAGUAUAAAAGGAAUUAUAAACAGCAGACUCUUAAAUUUGGAUUCCUCCACUAGAGAUGGUAAAUUAGACUGAUUUGAUAUUUAAACCAAAAACAGAAUAACCAUCGUAUGACAAAGAAUAUCAAAGUUUAACAUUCUGGUGGCUAAUAGACCAAAGAAAGGAGAAAUUACUCUAACCUCUCUUUAAAAAACAACAACAGAGGAGCAAAGGUAAAUGCUUCAAACAUAUGAGUUACUUUUUAUGCAUAAUUUUAGUUACACAUUUGUCCUUUCAGGCCUUGAAUUUUUAUUAUAACCUGGCUAAAGGAAUUACAAAAUCUGUCCAACUUAUCUAACUGCUUCAUUUGGGUACUUAUAUAACUUUGCAUAAAUUGGAAUUGGAUCAAUUCUCUUCCCCUCCCCCCCAAAAAAACCCUGCAGCUCAGUUAAGACAGAAACAACAUAAAAAUUACAACAGAAAUAUCUAUUCACAAGGCAACCAUACUAGCAUGAAGAAGCCUUGCCUUGUGGAAAUUCAGCUUCUGUUACAAACUCACUCCAUAAUAUUCAUUUAGUUUGUAUUGCCUAAGUAAUGUGAAUUAUUAUGCAUCUUUAACAUUUUUGAUAUAGGUUAUGUAGACAUUUGCAUCAAAUUAGAUUUAUGUAAGUCAGCUCUUACGUAAUCCGGGCCACCCUUACGGACUAACACAAGAAUGUUUGAAUGAAGAAAAAAUAAACUGUACAAGAAAAAAAAUGCUAUGAAUUCAGUGACAUCCAAUUCAUGAAACUAAUUAUCUCCAUAUCAGAGAAUGCUUUUGUAAUAUCUUUAGAUUUUAUCUUUUUUCCUUAUGUUGUUUUAUAAAACAACACACAUAUCGAUUGUGAAAUAAUCAUAUUCUGUUUACAAGCUGCGAAAGCUGUUUGCUUUCAAGAUAGGAAGGAUGUUUUGAAUCCAAUGUGAGGAUGCUUUAUAUACCAAUUAAAGGUAUGAAAACAA
Long non-coding RNA from Thamnophis sirtalis, 1469 nucleotides. RefSeq lists it as uncharacterized. Lineage: Eukaryota; Metazoa; Chordata; Lepidosauria; Squamata; Natricidae. The record is from RefSeq and is a predicted model, not a curated record.